AUGAAGCUGGGUGGCCUCUGCCUCCUGCUCCUCCUCGCCGUCCUUCUCACCCUCAAUGCAGAGUUCCAAGCAGUUGAUGUAGGUAUCUGUGUGACGGAGUGCAAGGUAGACCAGGACUGUGGGGCAGGAAGACGAUGCACCAGCAAUGGAUGUGGCCGGGUCUGCUCCCCAGUCCGGCGAAGAGAGGCCUGCGAGCACCAGUGCAGAGAAGACAGGGACUGUGGGAGUGGACAUCAGUGCGUGAGGAAGGGCUGUGGGCACGUCUGCGCCCCCGUCCAUCAAGUCGAUGUAGGUAUCUGUGUGAUGGAGUGCCGUGUAGACCAGGACUGUGGGGAAGGAAGACUAUGCAUCAGUAAUGGGUGUGGCCGUGUCUGCUUCCCAGUCCGGCGAAGAGAGGCCUGCGAGCACCAGUGCAGAGAAGACAGGGACUGUGGGAGUGGACAUCAGUGCGUGAGGAAGGGCUGUGGGCACGUCUGCGCCCCCGUCCAUCAAGUCGAUGUAGGUAUCUGUGUGACGGAGUGCCGUGUAGACCAGGACUGUGGGGAAGGAAGACAAUGCACCAGCAAUGGAUGUGGCCGUGUCUGCUCCCCAGCCCAGCAAAGAGAGGCCUGCGAGCACCAAUGCAGAGAAGACAAGGACUGUGGGAGUGGACAUCAGUGCGUGAGGAAGGGCUGUGGGCACGUCUGCUCCCCCAUCCCUCAAGUAGGUGAGUCUGGACUUUCUGUAGAGUGAAAUGGACUUGAGCUUUCAAGGCAAAUGUCCUUGGAUUCAAAUCCCAACUCUGCUGUUGACCAGACAGCCCCUUCAUGUCCUCAAUCUAUGAAAUACAAAAUAAGAAAACUUACCAGUUAAAGCCCAUUUUGGUUACCAUUAACCUGCUUUCUUUGCAG
RNAcentral lists this long non-coding RNA (890 nucleotides) under Sus scrofa (pig). RNAcentral's name for it is "lncRNA (ENSSSCG00045013342.1)". The record is from RNAcentral. Lineage: Eukaryota; Metazoa; Chordata; Mammalia; Artiodactyla; Suidae.